AAAGGUUUGGUCCUAGCCUUGGGAUCAAUUGUUACUUAAUAUACACAUGCAAGUCUCCGCACCCCUGUGAAAACGCCCUUAUUUUCCUCUCAGGAACAAGGAGCUGGUAUCAGGCACAACCUUCAGCCCAAGACACCUAGCUAUGCCACACCCACAAGGGAAUUCAGCAGUGAUUAACAUUGAGAAUAAGCGAAAGCUUGACUCAGUUAAAGUAAAGAGAACCGGCAAAUCCGGUGCCAGCCGCCGCGGUUACACCACGAGGUUCAAAUUGAUCCUUUUCGGCGUAAAGCGUGAUUAAAGUUUUCAACCAACUAUAGUUCUAUUAAAACUAAGCUGUGACACGCUUGUGCUUAAGAAAUCCAUAAACGAAAGUUACUAUAUCUUCAUCAACUUGAAACCACGACAGCUGGGGCACAAACUGGGAUUAGAUACCCCACUAUGCCCAGCCGUAAACUUUAAAUUACAUUCAUAUCGCCAGGGAACUACGAGCAAAGCUUAAAACCCAAAGGACUUGACGGUACCCCACAUCCACCUAGAGGAGCCUGUCCUAUAAUCGAUAACCCCCGCUUAACCUCACCAUUUUUAGCUUAUCAGCCUGUAUACCUCCGUCGUCAGCUUACCUCGUGAGUGACCCUUAGUGAGCUUAAUGUCCAUACGCCAAUACGUCAGGUCAAGGUGCAGUAAAUAAAAUGGGAAGAGAUGGGCUACACUCUCUAAUAUAGAAUAUACGAAAGACUACAUAUGAAAUCUAGUCGGAAGGCGGAUUUAGAAGUAAAAAGAGACCAUAAAGCUCUUUUUAACACGGCACUGGGGUGUGUACACACCGCCCGUCACCCUCUUCAAAGCCUAAAAGCAGUAAAUAACACAUUACGGCAAAUCAGAAGAGGCAAGUCGUAACAUGGUAAGUAUACCGGAAGUGUGCUUGGAAACAAAAU
Molecule: non-coding RNA, 935 nt
Filed under: Exerodonta smaragdina (emerald treefrog)
Lineage: Eukaryota; Metazoa; Chordata; Amphibia; Anura; Hylidae
Description: 12S ribosomal RNA
Rfam family: Bacterial small subunit ribosomal RNA
Source: RNAcentral